RNAcentral lists this transfer RNA (74 nucleotides) under Geotrichum candidum. RNAcentral's name for it is "transfer RNA-Asp (GTC)". It matches the Rfam family "tRNA". Rfam says of the family: Transfer RNA (tRNA) molecules are approximately 80 nucleotides in length. Their secondary structure includes four short double-helical elements and three loops (D, anti-codon, and T loops). Lineage: Eukaryota; Fungi; Ascomycota; Dipodascomycetes; Dipodascales; Dipodascaceae. The record is from RNAcentral.
UCGGCAAUAGUUUAGUGGCUAGAAUUUCCGCCUGUCAAGCGCGGGGGACCGGGGUUCAAUUCCCCGUUGCCGAG